Molecule: ribosomal RNA, 253 nt
Filed under: uncultured bacterium
Lineage: Bacteria
Description: partial 16S ribosomal RNA
Rfam family: Bacterial small subunit ribosomal RNA
Source: RNAcentral
UACGGGGGGGGUAAGCGUUGUUCGGAAUUACUGGGCGUAAAGGGCUCGUAGGCGGCCAACUAAGUCAUACGUGAAAUCCCUCAGCUUAACUGGGGAACUGCGUGUGAUACUGGAUGGCUUGGAUUUGGGAGAGGGAUGCGGAAUUCCAGGUGUAGCGGUGAAAUGCGUAGAGAUGUGGAGGAACACCAGUGGCGAAGGCGACUCUUUGGUCUGUAACUGACGCUGAGGCGCGAAAGCGUGGGGAGCAAACAGG